GAAAGGAUGUUGGCCAUAUGCUUCUGUAAAUACGAUAACUGAUGAGCUUCUUCAUCGGCUUGAGAGGGCAUAAAACGGCGACUGUUACUGCGAACAAGCUGAAGCGGCGUCAGGGCGGAGAGGUAUCCAUCGAACGCGGACGUCGAUGGCCAGACAUCAGCUACCGACGAGGAGUCCUUAUGCGACCUCGGAAGCAGCCGCUUGUACGACUGGAUGUAGAGAAAUAGAAUUAGGUCAAGGGCAUCCGCGCCGGGAGCUUCGGAUGGGGCGUCGGAGGGCAGGACGGAUGCGAGGGUGUCGAGAACGAGGCGGGCGUGGUCUGGCGAGAUCUGGAGGGCAUCGACGAGGGCGGGGGCG
RNAcentral lists this unclassified non-coding RNA (357 nucleotides) under Hevea brasiliensis (rubber tree). The record is from RNAcentral. Lineage: Eukaryota; Viridiplantae; Streptophyta; Magnoliopsida; Malpighiales; Euphorbiaceae.